This is a non-coding RNA of Vicia faba (fava bean), 249 nucleotides long. The record is from the annotation of a GenBank genome assembly. NCBI's taxonomy places the organism in Eukaryota, Viridiplantae, Streptophyta, Magnoliopsida, Fabales, Fabaceae.
AUGGCAUCAUUGAUGGAAUUGAUGCGCCUCCUUCACGAUGAAGCUGGGGAUGAACCACAACCCCAACCCCGACGACGCAACCGCAGGGCCGCUGCUCGUCGGCAAAACCCACCACCUACCGGCACUCUCUCCAACAGUGGCACACAAAACAUGGAGGGUCUUAUUAACAACACCGGUUAUGUUGAGGGACAUGGCAACGGAUCUAUCGUCUAUGGUAGCUUUGAUUCUUCUACAAAGACUUACAAUUAA